Long non-coding RNA from Aethalodelphis obliquidens (Pacific white-sided dolphin), 2317 nucleotides. RefSeq lists it as uncharacterized. The transcript is spliced from 4 exons. NCBI's taxonomy places the organism in Eukaryota, Metazoa, Chordata, Mammalia, Artiodactyla, Delphinidae. The record is from RefSeq and is a predicted model, not a curated record.
ACCCACCCCCUUUUUUCUUCCCUUUUAGAAAAUGUGAUACCUGAUCUCUGGGUCUAGCAGGGCUGAGGAUUUUUUUUUGUAUUUGUAUAACACAGUGUCUGGCCUUCCCCCUGACCUGCUGGUGUAUUUUUGGUCUCAUUAGUAGUCAGGCAGAAGCCUUAGUGCAUCCGGUGCUGGGAGUCAGGGAUGAGACACACGACAGCAGAGAGAAGGAGCGGGCGAGAGGGUAUUAGAAGAGAGGCUUGCCUCCAAGAUAUGGAAGGAAGUGAGAAAUGACAGGACGACGGCAAGCUUUGUAUGGAGGAGCCUGGCAGGGCGGGGGAGCCGUGAGGAGCGCGAAGUGGGUUCUCAGAAGCCCUAGAAGAGCUAAAGGUGAUUAGAGGGGGAUAUUGAUUCCUUACUCUGCCAGAGAUUUAAGCAGGCAUGCGAGGAAUCUGCACCAUGGUUGGCAAAAGGAGACCCAUCGCCUCCUGUAACCAGACACUCGGGCUUUCCAGGAGCCCAGGGAGAGAACCGAGAAGAAAGGGGGCAGUGUGGUCUAGGAAAAUUCAACUUGUCGCUGAUUUGUGCCUGACGCUUGCUGUCCGUCAGCAGCCUCCCUUACAAUCUUUUUUUCCUCUCUCUCCCUUUUUUUCUUGCCUUCUCCUUCUUCACUGAAGCCUAGGGGAGCCAGUAAAGAUUAAAUGUGCUUUCUCAAAGGCAGGCACUUCAUGCUGCUAUGUCGAAAGGGCCAUUAUUAUUAUGUUUUUAACAGUAAAAGAAAAAGGGAGAGAGGUUGAGAGAGAGAGAGAGAGAGAGAGAGAGAGAGAGAGAGAGAAGCUAGGUAGGAUGAUGACGGACUAGCUUUUCUGAGAGGAAAAGGAAAAGGGAAGGGAGAGAAAAAGGAGAGACCCUGAACUGAACAGAGGAUUGUGCCUGCGAAGAACCUACAGAGUGCCUUCCCUUGCAGGGGCUGCUUUGUCAUUCUCUUUGACUAGCCAUCCAUCCACCUUGCUCAGGCUGGAAUAAAAGAAGAAAAAGAAGGAGGAAAGGAAAGGAAACAGAAGGAAAGAAAAAAAGGGCAAGAAAAAAUUUUUAAAGAGUCAUCUUCCCACCCACUUCCCCUCCCUUUCGUUUCAUUUUUGGAGGCGGCACUAGGAGCCAUCUCCGCAGAGGAAAGCCCAGCUUCCAGGCAGACGCGGGGAAGCGACGAUCUAUCAGGUACAGAGCCCGUAGCUGUCUGCGAAGAUGGAGGGGAAUUGUGCUUCGGAUUCCUCCGAAAUAUUGGCAAACGGCUUCAAAGGAUCCGCGGCGGGAGUGGGGCGGGGGAGAUGCGCCUCCCCGGCUCGCGCCCACCCCUUCCCACUCGCCUCGACCAAGUGACAGCCUGGUGCUGGCUCGGGGUGAUUUGGCCUUGGCUCCAGCCAAGCAGCUGAUGUACAGGAGGCCCUUCGCAGGACUGGCAAAGUGCACGCUAAAGAAAGAAGGAGGAAAUUUUGAAAAGCAGCCCUGGGGAGGGUUCUCAUUCUUCGAAAAACAUUUUUUUUUUUAAUUUUUAACCUAAUAUUCUCAAAAUUUGAUCAGCCCCGUUCCCUCCCUCCACUCCCACCGAAUCGCCCUUUUUAACCCCCUCUCUCGUCAAAGCAUAAACUACAGAGUUACAGUCUCUAGAUUUGGUGUAUCGCUUCCUGCCCCCGCCUCCCCCUCCCUGCCCAGCUCUCAGUCCUCUAUUGAAACACCUCGCCCAGGCAAGCGCCCUGCAGCUCACGUUUCCCCCCCUGGCCCGGACGGUGCUACUGGAGGCUGCAGCCCGACUCCACUUCCAAUGGUAAGUUGCCUGUUGGAUAAACCUGAAGUUAUUCUUACGGAGCGCACUCUCCCAGAGCGAGGAUCGUGGUGCUCUCACACACUCUCAAGCAAUCCUGUUGCUUGACUGAUUCCUGAACAAGAUGAACAAUGAGCAAGCUCCGUUUUUCUGUCGUGUUGAUGUCCUUUCAGCUGGUCCUAUAGUCCCCCCUCCUCAGGAAUGUCUCCCCAGUGAAAGGACACAGACCACAGAGACUGCUGUCCUGAUGGACGCUCAAGCCGACUGUGAAGUUGAAACAAAGAAAGCGAUCACCUGAAGACACCUCUCCUGCCAAGUGACACACCCACAUGCUGCACCUUCAGCCAAUAGAAUCUCAGAACAAGAACAAGGCAAGCUUUUCAAGAAACAGAAGCACUUAAGAAUGACGUCUAGAUUUCGAAGGAGCCAAGGACUUUUCCCUUCGUCAUGUGUAUUCCUGUUUGUAUUUAAAUUCUGUGUGACAUUCAUUUUUAAAAAACUUUUUUUCUAGUA